Molecule: ribosomal RNA, 252 nt
Filed under: uncultured bacterium
Lineage: Bacteria
Description: partial 16S ribosomal RNA
Rfam family: Bacterial small subunit ribosomal RNA
Source: RNAcentral
UACGGAGGAUGCGAGCGUUAUCCGGAUUUAUUGGGUUUAAAGGGUGCGUAGGCGGACGCUUAAGUCAGCGGUAAAAUUGCGGGGCUCAACCUCGUCGAGCCGUUGAAACUGGGUGCCUUGAGUGGGCGAGAAGUACGCGGAAUGCGUGGUGUAGCGGUGAAACGCAUAGAUAUCACGCAGAACUCCGAUUGCGAAGGCAGCGUACCGGCGCCCAACUGACGCUGAAGCACGAAGGCGUGGGUAUCGAACAGG